CUCUGCUGCUUAUUCUGCAACUGGCUCCUAUUUCCUCAGAUGGAGAUGGGAGUUAGACUUGAACCAGGACUCUCAGUGGGGAAAUAAGUGGUAGUGUUUGAUCUUCUGCUAACUGUUGGCACUACAAUGACAUGUAAUGAACCAUCCCCAAACUCAGUGGCUUAAAAUAAUAAGCAUUUAUUUUGCUCACAGGUCUGGAUUAGUGAUUUACACCAGAGUGGCUGGACAGUUCUGGUCUUGACUGGGCUCCUUCAUAUGCCUGACAGUUGACAAAUCCAGUUGAUCUAGGAUGGCCUUGGCCAGCACAACUGGGGCAACUCAGGUCGGCUCCAUGUGUCUUAUCCUCUGGCAGCCUAGCCAGGGCAUAUUGUCGAGGCAAAGGCAGAGAUGCUAGACUCUCCACCAUGGUUGAGAACCCUGGACCAUGUGAUCACCGAGGCCCCUCCUAGCUCUGGCGUUUCUCCUGGCAUGAGGAUAGAUUUCUAUUCAUGUUUCCUGCAGAGGGCGCCAAACCCAAGCCAAUGGCUCCUCUAGGCUUGGCGCUUUCCUCCUGAUUCACUGCAUGUAGUUUGCUUCCUUCCUACCCUUUCUAACCUAGAGUACUAUUCUGGUUAUCUAUUGCUGAGUAACAAACUACCCCAAAACUUAGUGGCUUAAAACAGCAGCCAUUUUAUCUCAUGGAAUCUGCUGGUUAGGAAUUAAGACAGAGCUUGGAUGGGCAAUCCUGCUCCUUGUGGCUUCAGCUGAGAUCCCUCACUGGUACUCGGUUGGCAGGUGGACACGACUGGAGAGUCCAGGUUGGCUUCACUCACAUGUCUGGCGCCAUGGUGGGGAUGGCUGGAAGCAGGCUCAUUUGAGACCAUCAACCAGAGGGCCUACAUGGCCUCUCUAGCAUGGCAGUUUCAGGGCUGUCAGUCUUCUUACGUGAUGGCUGCUUUCUCCUAGAAUAGAAUGUGUGUUCUGAGAAGCUGCAUGGCCUUUUAUGACCUAGCUUAGGAAGUCACAUAGCAUUCCAUCUACAGUAUUCUAUUGGUCAAAGCAUCAAAAGCCCACCUAGAUUCAAGAGGGAAGGACAUAGACUCCACCUCUUUAAUGGGAAAGUAUAAAAAUCUGCUCACUCAAGUUCCCACUUUUCCUCCCUGUAUUUUUGGUCUAGUCUUCUGUAAUAUUCUCAGAUGAGACCUCUCCCUAGAGCAGUGGCUCUUAAAAUGUGGCCCCUGGUCCAGCAGCAUCAGCAUCCUCUGAGACCCUGUUAGAAGUGCAAAUUCUCAGGCCCCAGCCUAGACCUACUGAAUCAGAAACUUGAGGGUGGGACCCAGUAAUCUGUUCUGACAAGCCCUUCACUUCAUGAACCCUAAAGCUUGGGAACCACUGACCCAGGACAGAAGUCUCUUGGUGAGCCUCAAGUGAUGACCCAUGACUGCCUUCAACUUCCCAUCCUAGAUGUUGGAUUGAGGGUAACCUGGGUGGGGCAUGCAGUGGAGUGUGGUGCUGUUUAUGGGUUGGAACAUUACAAACAAGAAAAUUCACCAUUGCCCUUAAAGAAAUUACAGGGGCCAAAAUAACCACAAAUGAAAUUCUCUUAAGAUGAUACUAGUGUCUCAGCAGUAGAAUUUCAGUGUUACAUGGGCCCCUGUUCAUUUCUAAAGAGAGUGCAGCAAAGGGGGACAGAGGGCAGGGGAAAUAACCAAUUUGUUCCUUUAUGAGGUGGUUCCUUGUAGACUUGUCUGACUCAAAAAGUCAGCUGUCUGGGGCUGAAAUGAACUCAGAUGAACCACCAUAGAGAAAGCCCCUCUGAUAAAGGCAACGUGAGUUCUCUUCCUGUAUUUCUCAGCGGGGAUUGGAUGAGGUGGGGUGGGGAGUCCUUAACCCACUAGUCUUGUGUGAUUUGCAACCCUCUCAGAGUGGUUAGAAAUGAAGAUGCUGGCAAUAAACCACACUCCUGGGUCCUCGGGGCCCAUCAGUGGUAACUAUGGGUAACUCAUGUGUAACAGUCUCCUUGGCAAAUCACCAAGGUCCUUGACCUGUGAGCUCAUUGUUACCACACAAAUGGAAGAUCUGAGUUUCACUGAAAAUUUAAAUUGCUUCACUCUACUCUAGGGAAGAGAUGGGGCCAGCAGCUCAAGUAAAGCAGUCAUUGGGCCGCAGGUUGGCCCAGUAAUUAUAACGAGGUUUGGCGAUUCUUAAGCAGUUUGACACAUAUGUGCCCUCUAUGCCCCUAAUUGAGUGGUGGAUGACCGGUAUGUCCCACGAUGCUCAGAAACUUUGUCCUGCCCACUUCCCAAGCACCAGUUCCUAAGUACUAGUUACCAAGCUUCCUUCAAAGACCUUACUUUGCUUGCAAACUUGUCACUCAAACAGCUUUGCAGGAAGAUAGAGAAGAGUCCUGUGGCCAAACCCCAUCCCCACACUUUCCUGGAUAUGGUAGGAGCUUCUGGGCUGGCCCAGAGAAUCCCAAACACAGGAAGAUCUGUGGGGAUAGUUGAGCAGAGCUCGGGCUUCUAUUGCUGGUGAAAGAACCAGUGAAAAAACCUGUCCAGACUGAGUGAAAGUCAGCCCUGUGCCCUGCCGUUUGUGAGACUCCUGGAGCCGACACUGAAGCCAGCUGCAAGUUAACAGGGAGCAGUCUUUCUCCCAAGGUCACCGCUACAGCUCAAAAGUGUCAUAAUCACUCCUUUGAGUGACUCCUGCUUUCUUUCCAAUGACAUACCCAGCCUUGCUUUGUCACGCCUGCCACCUGAACAAAAAUCACUGCAAAACUGUGACUGAAAUCAUGGACUGUCAAAACUUUGCAGUUUGCAAGCCUCUCAGUAAGAACGGAACAUUCCACUCUUGCCUGGAAGACCUGAGCCGCGUCCUUCUAGUUGUGCUGUGUGGGACGCCGCCUCAGCGUGACCUGAUGAGCAGUGCCACGUCCACACCCAGGAUCCGAACCAGCGAAACCCUGGGCCACCGCAGCGGAGUGUGCAAACUUAACCACUCGGCCACCGGGCUGGCCCCUAGAACUUCUGAUAGGGGUUCUCAGGUUCGACCCAGGGGGUAUUCAUCAGAUGGGCUGUCGUGCAGCAGAGUUUGAGGACCACUGCUCUUCUUCACUGCUUUGCAGUAAAGGCUGUGGUCCAAACUGCUGUCAGAAGUGAACUCGUGUAACCAGCCUCAAAGAGGGAAGAAAAAUACCCCUGCUCCCCAAAGAGAUGAUUGAUUGGCCUGGGCCAUUAAAUAACACUUCCUAAUCAGUUUUUAGGUGUCAGAAAUUUUAACCGUGUGAUCACUAAAAUUCAACACAGCCCUGAAAUAAGGUACUAUUAUGCCCAGUAUAUAGAUGAGAAAACAGAGACUCAGAGAAGUUAAGCAAAUUAUGCAGGAUAAUUAAACAGCAAGUUGGUAACGGAGCUUCACGUCCAGGUGUGUGGCUCCAAUUUUUUGCUUUUUUCACAAUCUGCCCCACAUCUUUCAUGACCUGCAGCAGCCUAUGAGAGACAACCUCUCUGAGUGGACCUGUCAGAACAACUAAGCCUGCUGGGUGUGGGCAGUCUUCCCAUAUGUUUGCCCCAAGUGCCUCAGCACCUGAUCCUACCAACAGGAAAAGCGAAAGUGGAGAGACUGCCGCUGUGCUGGGCGGUGUGUGCCCAGCACUGUUCUCCAUUCCUUCUCCGCAGCGUUUGGUCCAGUAGCCACCCCUUCCCCUGUAGCCUGUGAGCUUCUGGAGAAUCUCCAGGGAGUGAGCUAAGAGUAAUCGUAUAACCUUUGCCACUGUGGCUUCAGGAACCAGGCUCUAAUACAAUCAGCAGGUGACAUCCUCCUGACGAUAGGAAUUGGGUCAGGAAUGGGUGUAUGACCAGUGAGGCUCAAGGCAAGAUUUGCAAGGGGCUUCUGGAAACAAAUUUCUUCAGAGCCACUGGAAUAGAUGUUCUCUCUUCCUCUGGCUAUUGCAGGGUGCAGAAUAAGACUGCAACUACAGCAGUCUGCUCAUGACCACCCUAAGGCUCAGACUAACAGGAGAGAUGCAAAUAGCUGAGAAGAUAGCUCAAGUAGAGGAGUGGAGUGGGUGCUUUGAUUGAACCAUGCCUGAUCUCCACCCCACUACAGGAAUUUUUAAGUUAUAUGAGCCAAUAAAUUCUAC
Equus asinus (donkey) is the source of this 4123-nucleotide long non-coding RNA. Lineage: Eukaryota; Metazoa; Chordata; Mammalia; Perissodactyla; Equidae. The record is from Ensembl.